RNAcentral lists this ribosomal RNA (497 nucleotides) under uncultured bacterium. RNAcentral describes it as "partial 16S ribosomal RNA". It matches the Rfam family "Bacterial small subunit ribosomal RNA", at positions 28 to 507 of the family's 1533-position model. The record is from RNAcentral.
GAUGAACGCUGGCGGCGUGCCUAAUACAUGCAAGUCGAGCGAACAGACGAGGAGCUUGCUCCUCUGACGUUAGCGGCGGACGGGUGAGUAACACGUGGAUAACCUACCUAUAAGACUGGGAUAACUUCGGGAAACCGGAGCUAAUACCGGAUAAUAUAUUGAACCGCAUGGUUCAAUAGUGAAAGACGGUUUUGCUGUCACUUAUAGAUUGAUCCGCGCCGCAUUAGCUAGUUGGUACGGUAACGGCUUACCAAGGCAACGAUGCGUAGCCGACCUGAGCGGGUGAUCGGCCACCCGGGAACUGAGACACGGUCCCGACACCUACGGGAGGCAGCAGUAGGGAAUCUUCCGCAAUGGGCGAAAGCCUGACGGAGCAACGCCGCGUGAGUGAUGAAGGUCUUCGGAUCGGAAAACUCUGUUAUUAGGGAAGAACAAAUGUGUAAGUAACUAUGCACGUCUUGACGGUACCUAAUCAGAAAGCCACGGCUAACUACGUG